This 724-nucleotide unclassified non-coding RNA is filed under the name Hevea brasiliensis (rubber tree). Lineage: Eukaryota; Viridiplantae; Streptophyta; Magnoliopsida; Malpighiales; Euphorbiaceae. The record is from RNAcentral.
GGCAUUCUAUUCAAUGACAAAGCUGAUUGAUAAGCAUUAAAAGCACAAACCUAAACCUUUAAGACUUUGGACUCUCAAAACUAGCAUUAAUGACUUGGACUCCCAAAGAAAAACUAAAACUUUGAAACAAAAAUAGACUACUAAGGACAUCCUGGCAACCUAUUCCAGCAACGCUUCCAAGGACACUUUUUAAAUGCAUGAAUUUACCUAACAUUUGGCAAGCUGUUCCUCAUGAGUUAUAACUGUCACUACCGUUAUUAUUUUACAGCUGAAUAUUCAUGAGGCAAAUAUCACAACGAGUACAGCAAUUAUUUAAUUAGAACACCAGAAUAGAAAUCAAUAAGUUACAGACACAACAGAAAAUAACUUUUACAUAUGCACUAUAAGCAAACCUUAUUAUUUCUGUUGCCAAAUUAUGGUAUGCUUAUACCUAGAGGAAGACAACUUUCAUAUAGUUUAAGAAAACAUCUAGAGCCAAAAUUCUACCCUAGUUAAACUAGGAAACUUCGCAAGGGCAUAUACAAGGACAGCAGAAAGUAAGAACCUGUAUAACAACCCUUAAGCAAUGCACUUUGGCAGCUCCAGCUCAAUGGAGGUAUCCUCAUUGAGCAUGCAAUCCAUUCCUAAAACUGUGUCGCGUACUCAAUAUCCAUAGCUGUUUUAUCCUAUACCAACCUGUCAGUGUUGUGCCCAUUGAAUCUGCUUAAUAUCAAUCCCUUCCUUC